GACGAACGCUGGCGGCGUGCUUAACACAUGCAAGUCGAACGGAAAGGCCCUGCUUUUGUUGGGUGCUCGAGUGGCGAACGGGUGAGUAACACGUGAGUAACCUGCCCUUGACUUUGGGAUAACUUCAGGAAACUGGGGCUAAUACCGGAUAGGAGCUCCUGCUGCAUGGUGGGGGUUGGAAAGUUUCGGCGGUUGGGGAUGGACUCGCGGGUUAUCAGCUUGUUGGUGGGGUAGUGGCUUACCAAGGCUAUGACGGGUAGCCGGCCUGGGAGGGUGACCGGCCACAUGGGGACUGAGAUACGGACCAGAAGCCUACGGGCGGCAGCGGUGGGAAAUAUUGCACAACGGGCCGAAGUCUGAUGCAGCAACGCCCCGUGCGGGAUGACGGCCUUCGGGUUGUAAACCGCUUUCGCCUGUGACGAAGCGUGAGUGACGGUAAUGGGUAAAGAAGCACCGGCUAACUACGUG
Molecule: ribosomal RNA, 468 nt
Filed under: uncultured bacterium
Lineage: Bacteria
Description: partial 16S ribosomal RNA
Rfam family: Bacterial small subunit ribosomal RNA
Source: RNAcentral